This 75-nucleotide transfer RNA is filed under the name Phycisphaerales bacterium. RNAcentral's name for it is "tRNA-Pro". It matches the Rfam family "tRNA". Rfam says of the family: Transfer RNA (tRNA) molecules are approximately 80 nucleotides in length. Their secondary structure includes four short double-helical elements and three loops (D, anti-codon, and T loops). Further hydrogen bonds mediate the characteristic L-shaped molecular structure. tRNAs have two regions of fundamental functional importance: the anti-codon, which is responsible for specific mRNA codon recognition, and the 3' end, to which the tRNAs corresponding amino acid is attached (by aminoacyl-tRNA synthetases). tRNAs cope with the degeneracy of the genetic code in two manners: having more than one tRNA (with a specific anti-codon) for a particular amino acid; and 'wobble' base-pairing, i.e. permitting non-standard base-pairing at the 3rd anti-codon position. The record is from RNAcentral. Lineage: Bacteria; Pseudomonadati; Planctomycetota; Phycisphaerae; Phycisphaerales.
CGGGGCGUAGCGCAGCGGUAGCGCACCUGGUUUGGGACCAGGGGGUCGCAGGUUCGAAUCCCGCCGCCCCGACCA